UUUUAUCAGUUUCAACAAACAACAAAUAGCCAAACGAUAUCAGCUUCCAACACCCGAUCAAUGCUAAACCGACCUAACAGCGCCAAAUCAACCCAACACCGCUAAAACUCGACCACCUCCGACUUAUCCCCAACGACCCGAAUAGCCUCCGACCAGACAAACCCCAACCCAUUGUCAACCCCGUCUACGAUAAAAAUUCUAGAAACUUGAUACCUCAUGUACUCUUAACAGUUGAAUUUUGUAAUCCAAGAGAGGGAUAGUACAAUUUUGUACCAAAUUCAACUCAUAAUCCUAUCUUAUUUUCAAAUUUCAAAGAGGUCCUAUCCGAAUUUCCCAAAAGGAUCCUGUAAUAUUUGUUCCCACAUCGUUUGAACCUGGAAAUCUACCCCCUAAUUCCUUCUAUAAAAUAUCCUUAUUGAGCUGAAAGAGGGGGUGGUGGAGAAAAGAAAAAAAAGGGAGAAAUUCUUUUAAAAAAAUGAGGGGUUUGAAAUUCUAAAAAAAAAAAAAGAAAACUUUUUUAGAGUACAUCAGCUUCUUUAGUAAAAUUAUCUCUUGCCUUCUUCUUUGAAAGCUGAUUGUUUAAUUGGAAGCAUUGAAGGUUCGUCGACUGAUUGCAGUUUUUGAGUUGAUGACAAUGUUAUUUUUCGAUGGUUGUAAAUCCGACGCUAGUUCGUUGUCUUAUUUUGUUGCUCCAACAUAGGUAUAUCUCCAAGGAAUAUUUGCUAUUGGAUGCUAAAAAGGCUCAUACUCGGAUAAAGGCAGGGUGGAAGCUACCACCAAAAAGGGAAAAGCAUCAACCUCUAAAGUAGUCUAAAAAGGCCUAGAGUUGUAACUUCCUAGCUCCUGAGAUGAUAAUGAAAUGCCUUUGGUAGUGAAACCGACUAGGCCCCUAGUAAGGCAACAUGACCAUCUAUUGACAUGGACCCGAGCGCCUAGUGUGCCAUAGGGAGUCUUUACCCUCUUCUACUCUCAUUAUAUAUUUUCAUUGGAGAUAAUGCAAUGAAUUUUAAUUGGGGGGGGGGGGGGGGGGGGUACAUUGCUCUACAUUUGACGGUCUAUACUUGUGGGUUUCAUUUGGUAGCAUUGGUUGGAUAGAUUUUGGGUACAUUGCUCUACAUUUGAUGGUCUAUACUUGUUAAUUUUAUUUGGUGGCAUUGGUUGGAUAGAUUUUGGGUUGGCCUUUGAUGGGAAUAUGGAUAAAUAUAUCAAGUAUCGCCCUUGUCGGGCAUGUUUCAUGCACUCAUUAUGAAUGUUAUACCCGAUUGUGAUUGUAUUGGUA
Molecule: long non-coding RNA, 1279 nt
Organism: Capsicum annuum
Lineage: Eukaryota; Viridiplantae; Streptophyta; Magnoliopsida; Solanales; Solanaceae
Exons: 2
Source: RefSeq, a predicted model, not a curated record